This 270-nucleotide ribosomal RNA is filed under the name uncultured archaeon. RNAcentral's name for it is "partial 16S ribosomal RNA". It matches the Rfam family "Archaeal small subunit ribosomal RNA", at positions 477 to 747 of the family's 1478-position model. The record is from RNAcentral.
CUGCAGCCCGAGUGGUGAUCGAUUUUAUUGAGCCUAAAGCGUCCGUAGCCGGACUAGUAAACCCUUGGGUAAAUUGGGCAGCUUAACUGUUCAAAUUCCGAGGGGACUGCUAGUCUUGGGACCGGGAGAGGUCAGAGGUACUCAAGGGGUAGGGGCUAAAUCCUGUAAUCCUUUGGGGACCACCAGUGGCGAAGGCGUCUGACUAGAACGGAUCCGACGGUAAGGGACGAAACCCUGGGGCGCGAACCGGAUUAGAGACCCGAGUAGUCC